CACAAAAAAUAUGAAGGCUCUCCAGCUUAUUUCUUUUUGGCUGGAGGCUGAAUUAUUUUUCACCCAUGUCUUUUGCGCACUUGUUGUUUCCUGGGCGGGUUCGCCCGCCACCAGGACCACACCAUAAACCUUUUUUAUGCAGUUGCAAUCAGCGUCAGUAUAACAAAUGUAAAUCAUUUA
This 180-nucleotide unclassified non-coding RNA is filed under the name uncultured Curvularia. Its description in RNAcentral is "sequence contains ITS1". Lineage: Eukaryota; Fungi; Ascomycota; Dothideomycetes; Pleosporales; Pleosporaceae. The record is from RNAcentral.